CAGAGGCAAAACUCCAUUGAACACAUGGCAGCAAAAAGACAGUAAAAUACAAUAAAAUACACAAGGUUACAUUUAUGACAUAAAAUACAGACAUGCAACAUAUGCCCAGAUAGCUUAGGUCUGAGCGCACAUUAAUACUGAAUGGCACUCAGAGCACAUACAUACAGUUCAAUUGCCAUGGAGCCAAAGUCUUUCCCAUAGUCUUUCAUUAUACGAAUGGGCUCCAUGGCAUAGCUAUCUGGGGUAUCACUGCUCAAACAGGGCAAGCACCAAAUGACCCGGUUUUCUUGUCUUUGCAGGGGAAAAUCAAGCCUUUUAACAUGGGGCCAUAAUCCAAAGGCAACAGGCGAGCAACCAGGCUUCUCCAAUGCAAUGUGGCGAGAUUGCUCUCGUCACAGUCAGCAUGCGAGUCAUGGAAGAGAGAAAAUCCUAUGACUACCAAGAGUAUCAAACCACUUGAUGGUGUCACUAUUUAUCCAGGAAACUACACUUGC
Pelobates cultripes (western spadefoot toad) is the source of this 494-nucleotide non-coding RNA. The record is from the annotation of a GenBank genome assembly. Lineage: Eukaryota; Metazoa; Chordata; Amphibia; Anura; Pelobatidae.